Long non-coding RNA from Pomacea canaliculata, 447 nucleotides. RefSeq lists it as uncharacterized. Lineage: Eukaryota; Metazoa; Mollusca; Gastropoda; Architaenioglossa; Ampullariidae. The record is from RefSeq and is a predicted model, not a curated record. The transcript is spliced from 2 exons.
GAAAGGCACCCACCCAGGCAAAACAUAUUAGACACAAAAUAUAAAAGCCACAGGCCAAGGCGAAAGAGAAUUCCAUCGAGGAUUUUCAACAGUCUUCUAGUCGCCAUGAGGAUCUUGUUUCUUCUCAUCGCCCUCAGCCUCAUCGCCAUCGCCAUGUGUCAGCAAACACAAGCCCCUCAAGGAUGUCUACACGGUGGAAUUUGGUAUGAAAAAGGACAAUCUUACAAAGACGACUGUAACACUUGCAUCUGUAUGGGCAACAACAUGGCUGGAUGCACUCUGAUGCUUUGUCUUCCUGGUUAGAAUGUCGGCCACACAUCCACCCGAGAUGCCGUGAAGACAUGCAGUCAUGGCGACGACAUUUCGAAAACGAUAUAAAGCUUGCAGUUGUCUAUGUCAACAUGAAUACACAGAGCUGGAUUCACUUUGAUCGGCAAAGCGAACUUG